AAUGAAGUGCCUGACUAAAGGGCUACCUUGAUAGGGUAAAUUAAGUAAUUUAAAUUACCUUCAUUA
RNAcentral lists this transfer RNA (66 nucleotides) under Yunnanacris wenshanensis. RNAcentral describes it as "tRNA-Ile". The record is from RNAcentral. Lineage: Eukaryota; Metazoa; Arthropoda; Insecta; Orthoptera; Acrididae.